UGGGGAAUAUUGGACAAUGGGCGCAAGCCUGAUCCAGCAAUGCCGCGUGUGUGAAGAAGGCCUUCGGGUUGUAAAGCACUUUUAUCAGGAACGAAAUACCACGGGUUAAUAACCUAUGGGGCUGACGGUACCUGAGGAAUAAGCACCGGCUAACUUCGUGCCAGCAGCCGCGGUAAUACGAAGGGUGCAAGCGUUAAUCGGAAUUACUGGGCGUAAAGGGUGCGUAGGCGGUUGUUUAAGUCUGUCGUGAAAUCCCCGGGCUCAACCUGGGAAUGGCGAUGGAUACUGGGCAGCUAGAGUGUGUCAGAGGAUGGUGGAAUUCCCGGUGUAGCGGUGAAAUGCGUAGAGAUCGGGAGGAACAUCAGUGGCGAAGGCGGCCAUCUGGGACAACACUGACGCUGAAGCACGAAAGCGUGGGGAGCAAACA
Molecule: ribosomal RNA, 427 nt
Filed under: uncultured Rhodanobacter sp.
Lineage: Bacteria; Pseudomonadati; Pseudomonadota; Gammaproteobacteria; Lysobacterales; Rhodanobacteraceae
Description: bacterial SSU rRNA
Rfam family: Bacterial small subunit ribosomal RNA
Source: RNAcentral